GUCGAGGGGUUCUUGAACAUGGU
This 23-nucleotide non-coding RNA is filed under the name Arabidopsis thaliana (thale cress). Lineage: Eukaryota; Viridiplantae; Streptophyta; Magnoliopsida; Brassicales; Brassicaceae. The record is from RNAcentral.